This 467-nucleotide ribosomal RNA is filed under the name uncultured bacterium. Its description in RNAcentral is "partial 16S ribosomal RNA". It matches the Rfam family "Bacterial small subunit ribosomal RNA", at positions 28 to 506 of the family's 1533-position model. The record is from RNAcentral.
GACGAACGCUGGCGGCGUGCUUAACACAUGCGAGUCGAACGGAAAGGCCCUGCUUUUGUGGGGUGCUCGAGUGGCGAACGGGUGAGUAACACGUGAGUAACCUGCCCUUGACUUUGGGAUAACUUCAGGAAACUGGGGCUAAUACCGGAUAGGAGCUCCUGCUGCAUGGUGGGGGUUGGAAAGUUUCGGCGGUUGGGGAUGGACUCGCGGCUUAUCAGCUUGUUGGUGGGGUAGUGGCUUACCAAGGCUUUGACGGGUAGCCGGCCUGGGAGGGUGACCGGCCACAUUGGGACUGGGAUACGGCCCAGACUCCUACGGGAGGCAGCAGUGGGGAAUAUUGCACAAUGGGCGGAAGCCUGAUGCAGCAACGCCGCGUGCGGGAUGACGGCCUUCGGGUUGUAAACCGCUUUCGCCUGUGACGAAGCGUGAGUGACGGUAAUGGGUAAAGAAGCACCGGCUAACUACGU